RNAcentral lists this ribosomal RNA (293 nucleotides) under uncultured bacterium. RNAcentral's name for it is "partial 16S ribosomal RNA". It matches the Rfam family "Archaeal small subunit ribosomal RNA", at positions 455 to 747 of the family's 1478-position model. The record is from RNAcentral.
GUGCCAGCCGCCGCGGUAAUACCGGCAGCUCAAGUGAUGGCCGAUCUUAUUGGGCCUAAAGCGUCCGUAGCUGGCCUCGCAAGUCCGUCGGGAAAUCCAGUAGCUCAACUACUGGGCGUCCGGCGGAAACUACAAGGCUUGGGACCGGAAGGCUCGAAGGGUACGUUCGGGGUAGGAGUGAAAUCCCAUAAUCCCGCACGGACCACCGAUGGCGAAAGCACUUCGAGAAAACGGAUCCGACAGUGAGGGACGAAAGCCAGGGUCUCCAACCGGAUUAGAUACCCUAGUAGUCC